RNAcentral lists this ribosomal RNA (294 nucleotides) under uncultured bacterium. RNAcentral describes it as "partial 16S ribosomal RNA". It matches the Rfam family "Bacterial small subunit ribosomal RNA", at positions 30 to 325 of the family's 1533-position model. The record is from RNAcentral.
AUUGAACGCUGGCGGCAUGCCUUACACAUGCAAGUCGAACGGCAGCACGGGGGCAACCCUGGUGGCGAGUGGCGAACGGGUGAGUAAUACAUCGGAACGUGCCCCGUAGCGGGGACAACCAGUCGAAAGACUGGCUAAUACCGCAUACGCUCCACGGAGGAAAGCAGGGGAUCGCAAGACCUUGCACUAUGGGAGCGGCCGAUGCCCGAUUAGCUAGUUGGUGAGGUAAAGGCUCACCAAGGCAACGAUCGGUAGCUGGUCUGAGAGGACGACCAGCCACACUGGGACUGAGAC